CUCUGUGAUAUAUCUAGAUCUGCUGCUCUGCUCUGUUCUGGUACAGUUUGUAUAAGUAGUCUACAUACUGGGAGAGGUUCAGGGGGAGGUAGUCUACAUACUGGGAGAGGUUCAGUGAGAGGUAGUCUACAUACUGGGAGAGGUUCAGUGAGAGGUAGUCUACACACUGGGAGAGGUUCAGUGAGAGGUAGUCUACAUACUGGGAGAGGUUCAGUGAGAGGUAGUCUACUGCCCACCCAGGGUAGACUCUGACUGGUCUGGUCACAUCACAUUAUUAACCAACCACAGCUCUGCAGGCUUAGUGGUUCGGUCAGCUGAAACUGUGUCGUCUUGCCUCUAUUGACUGUGACUGUUGGUUAGUGUGGAGGUAGCGAGCUGAAACCGCGGGUAGCCAUGGUAACAGCUACAUUAUGCAACAAAUGAGUCUCUCUGUGUUCAGAAGUGGUGUCAUCAUAGGUCAGGGAACUGACUGAUUCCCAUGCACUAAAAACAAACCCAAAAGAGCCCC
Molecule: long non-coding RNA, 508 nt
Organism: Oncorhynchus tshawytscha (Chinook salmon)
Lineage: Eukaryota; Metazoa; Chordata; Actinopteri; Salmoniformes; Salmonidae
Source: Ensembl